Molecule: long non-coding RNA, 460 nt
Organism: Oncorhynchus keta (chum salmon)
Lineage: Eukaryota; Metazoa; Chordata; Actinopteri; Salmoniformes; Salmonidae
Exons: 3
Source: RefSeq, a predicted model, not a curated record
GCAUUCGACACUUGACCCUGAUGUCCUUCUGGACAGGUGGGUUGGCCUCUUCGGUUCAGUUCUAAAUUGGUUAAGGACCUAUUUUUUUUUAUUUUAUUUCACCUUUAUUCAACCAGGUAGGCUAGUUGAGAACACCUUUAUUCAACCAGGUAGGCUAGUUGAGAACACCUUUAUUCAACCAGGUAGGCUAGUUGAGAACACCUUUAUUCAACCAGGUAGGCUAGUUGAGAACACCUUUAUUCAACCAGGUAGGCUAGUUGAGAACACCUUUAUUCAACCAGGUAGGCUAGUUGAGAACACCUUUAUUCAACCAGGUAGGCUAGUUGAGAACACCUUUAUUCAACCAGGUAGGCUAGUUGAGAACACCUUUAUUCAACCAGGUAGGCUAGUUGAGAACACCUUUAUUCAACCAGGUAGGCUAGUUGAGAACACCUUUAUUCAACCAGGUAGGCUAGUUGAG